This 500-nucleotide ribosomal RNA is filed under the name uncultured bacterium. RNAcentral describes it as "bacterial SSU rRNA". It matches the Rfam family "Bacterial small subunit ribosomal RNA", at positions 30 to 518 of the family's 1533-position model. The record is from RNAcentral.
UGAACGCUAGCUACAGGCUUAACACAUGCAAGUCGAGGGGCAUCGAGAAGAAAGCUUGCUUCUUGUCGGCGACCGGCGCACGGGUGAGUAACGCGUAUCCAACCUACCCUUUACACUGGGAUAGCCCGUUGAAAAGCGGAUUAAUACCAGAUGCAGUCCUUUGCGGACAUCUAAGUAGGACGAAAGGUUUUUCCGGUAGAGGAGUGGGGAUGCGUCCGAUUAGCUUGUUGGCGGGGUAACGGCCCACCAAGGCGACGAUCGGUAGGGGUUCUGAGAGGAAGGUCCCCCACACUGGUACUGAGACACGGACCAGACUCCUACGGGAGGCAGCAGUGAGGAAUAUUGGUCAAUGGGCGUAAGCCUGAACCAGCCAAAGUAGCGUGCAGGAUGACGGCCCUAUGGGUUGUAAACUGCUUUUAUAGGGGAAUAAAGUUCGGGACGUGUCCCGUUUUGUAUGUACCCUAUGAAUAAGGACCGGCUAAUUCCGUGCCAGCCGCGGC